GGCUCCCUUUCUCCUCCUCUUCUGGUGCUUUUCUGAGAUUUAUCCGUCUAGGGGAUGUGGGAUUUCUUAGACCUCUGCUUCGUAGUCAUCUUUUUGCUAAACCCUGUCUGCUUCGGAUUCCUUUGCGACGCCAGCUCUCCUCCCCUUCACUGUGAGGUUGCUGCAUGACUGUACAUUCCCUUCGUUUUUUUUCAGCCCCUUCACUCUGUGUGCUGUUGAUGGGUUCGUGCGAGAGAACGGGAGCGUGGGAAGAGAGAUGUGUGGGGACCAGGGGCACCCCUCGCUAAGGACCCGUUGAGCCAAUUGUUGGCUCAGGGCUGAUUUGGAGUCAGAGAUGCCAAGUGGAGAAAAGACUGAAGAUGCUGGUUUUCCAAGAUCUGAGAUGGAAACUGUGAAACUGAAAAACAGGCUCUUACAAUCCCACCACCUGACAUUUUUUUUGGAUCAGAUCGCUGGCCUGGAUGUUCAGCAAUUGAACUAGUUUCCUUCCAGGUCACUGUCUCUCAUCUUUGUUCUCUGUUCUCCCUAUGACUGUGCUUCUUUCCUGUAACCACAGAUGAUGAUAUCAGGGUUGGAGGAGAUCCCUGAGAUCAUCCCGUGCAGCCCCCUGCCUUCAGUUAGAUAUGAAGACGGAAGCCUCACAGAGGCAAUGACUUCUUCAAGGUCACACAGCAAGCUGGUGGAGGAGCCGGGACCAGCAGCCCAGAUCCUGAAUCCCGGGCCAAAGCUGUCUUCUCUAAUGGAUCACUGGUUCAACCCGUGGAAUUCAGAAAAGUGAACUUCCGCUGAAGCAGCUGCCUCCGAGGCUGCUCAGAAAGUAAUGGUGUGCGUCCAUUUGUAAGAGAGAAAGGGCAAGGAAAAGACUCACAGCACCGAGAGAAGAAAUAUCAGCUAAACCUUCAGUUACUCUUCUGUAGGGAAACUGAAAUGAACACAGCAUGUGAUACCAAAUUAAGCGAUUUGACUUGGAAGCUACUGUAAUUCACAUCUUCUGGGUUUUCUCCCCUUCAAAAAAUAAGGUACCCGCGCUGGGAAGAGAGCAGCUCAGCCCUUGCAAGGCUCCCCUUGAAAAGACACCCAGAUUCCCAGGCCUCACAAGAAACGCGCAGCCCAGAUCUGAUGUCAAGAGCUUUGGGAGCUUUUGCGAAGCAUGUGGCAGAUAUGGAAACCAGCAGGCGUCUGUGCUGGCCUUAGCAGGACGGGCUUCCAUCGGCGCUCAGAGAAGGCACACAGAGAAAGUGCUGAUCUCUAGGACUCUGCUCGAAGACAGGCCGUGUAAACACAAGAGUUUCUCAGAAGUCUGGGGGAUUUUCAAGACCUUACUCAAGAAUUCAUUCAAUAUUGAAGAAGCCAAGAGGACCAUACAGUUCAAGAACUGAAGGUUUAUUCACGUCAUGCACAGGGAAUUUCAAAUUAGAGAUGGAUCUGUAAGAUAAAACUUCAUUUAGGGAAGGCCUGGGAAGAAAGAAACUCCCUACUACAAAGGAUGGCCUCCCACACAUUCGAAUCAUUGCACCCGGGAUAAUCAUCUGUCUUGUUCAAAAGCAUCAAAGGAAAUGAACCAGAUCACCUUUCUUCAUUUUCCAGAGAAAAUCAUCCACCGUGUGAAUCGAAGCCAUUCUGGAUCAGAAGCCCCUCUGCUGUCAGAUAAAGAGAUGUUAUCAAACCCACGUAUAGAAUAUCCAGGACCAAGGGACAAUUUAUCAAGGUUAGGAAAGUUCUUUAAUCAUCUAAAUCCAGAUGCUUAGGAGAAUCCACACUGUUCAAGAGCUGCAGGCCCUCCUGGCAACAGGGAAAUUAGUACUUCCUGCAGCACCUUUGGCAGCUCUGGAAAUAACACUAACCCUUUAUCAACUUCAGCCAUGCUUAUUGUUAUCUAGUCCAAGCUCAUACCUCUCGCCACACGACAGGCCAAUAAACUGAGAGACGAGGUGUUAGGGCAAGGAAUUGCAACUUUAUUCGGAAAGCUGGCAGACAGAGAAGAUGGUGAACUCGCGUCCCAAAGAACCAUCUUGCCUGGGUUGGAAUGCAGGCUUCUUCUAGACUGAAAGGGGAGAGGCUGUGGCUGGUCGUGAACUUCUGCAUGCUGGAAUCCUUCAUUCCUGCAGCUGUCCACAUAGGUCUGGUCACAGGUUCCUGUAAACCUCUAACAAGACGAAGGAUCUUCUCUACUCUGCAACUUUUUAUCUCCAUAUGAAUGGAAAAGUGUUAUACCUUUAAAGGUCAGAGCCUUGAGUAUGGGCUCUCCUGCAUAUU
This is a long non-coding RNA of Aethalodelphis obliquidens (Pacific white-sided dolphin), 2256 nucleotides long. RefSeq lists it as uncharacterized. The transcript has 4 exons. Lineage: Eukaryota; Metazoa; Chordata; Mammalia; Artiodactyla; Delphinidae. The record is from RefSeq and is a predicted model, not a curated record.